GAUUCUCGUCUGAAAAAAAACAGCUAACUUUCGAAAAGAAUUUGGAGGUUAAACAUUCAAUUGCAAUAUUGGAACAUCAGCAAACAAGAUAAAGCAUGAAACUGCUAAUAAUCAUAAUACUCGUAGCAUGUUUGCUGGCGACAAGCAGCUCAGCUCCUGGCCCUGAUGUCGGUGUCUAUAUGCAUGGCCCGCAUGACACAGAUGAUAAAGAAAACGACCUGAAAGCUGCACCAAUUCCACAGUAUUACCAUGCAAAGUUUGGGGCCGGAGGAAAACACUCAGGCUACUGAGACAGAACUGGAACACAAAAACCACUGGAAACCGGAAUAGCAAUUCUCAACGCACAAGGAAAUAACGCACUUGAAAUAACGAAAAACUUAAAACAAUGCACAAGGAAAAUUUUCCAGCGUUUAAAACUAUUUUUAUUUGAAAGUGAUAAAACUA
Long non-coding RNA from Rhopilema esculentum, 444 nucleotides. RefSeq lists it as uncharacterized. NCBI's taxonomy places the organism in Eukaryota, Metazoa, Cnidaria, Scyphozoa, Rhizostomeae, Rhizostomatidae. The record is from RefSeq and is a predicted model, not a curated record.